Long non-coding RNA from Centruroides sculpturatus (bark scorpion), 295 nucleotides. RefSeq lists it as uncharacterized. Lineage: Eukaryota; Metazoa; Arthropoda; Arachnida; Scorpiones; Buthidae. The transcript has 3 exons. The record is from RefSeq and is a predicted model, not a curated record.
GAUUUAAAAAAUUGAUAAUCAAAAUUUUUAUAUUAAGGGUCUAUUGGUAUAAUAUCUGAUUCAGACACUAGUCAUAGUGAAUUACAUACUGAAGAACUGCCAAUUUCUUUUAUUGAAGAUUUGAAGGCAGAAGAAGUUAAAGAAGGAUCAGAGGCAGAAUUAUGGAUAGAAGAAACUUUACCCAAUUUAGAAAUUUUACAAGAAGAAGAGAUGCCAUCAUAUCAAGAUAGUCAACCUCCCACAGAUGCUUUUGCUGAAAUUAUACAUGAAGAAAAGGAACCAGAAGGUAUAAAAA